CAGAGUCACCACCGAACUUUAUUUAUCCCAAUGAAGGAAUAGGAAAAUAUCGAUAAAACCUUUAGGAAAUGGAAUAAUGGUCGUCGCAACCAUAUUCGGGUUCGGGAGUGGAUUACGCAAGAGGAAGGUAUUAGCUUCCCUUGCGUCUGUUGUACUAAACGGGAGCCUUUUAGUUCUAAUUUGUGUUUCGAGUGUUAAUUUAUGUUUGUUUUUUAUCUUUGGGUUAUAAAAUGUUGAAAAUAGAAAAGGAUGAGAACCUUAGUGUAGCACCUCAAAU
RNAcentral lists this long non-coding RNA (277 nucleotides) under Lathyrus oleraceus (garden pea). RNAcentral describes it as "Pisum sativum (pea) long non-coding RNA (PSAT_LNC015267)". Lineage: Eukaryota; Viridiplantae; Streptophyta; Magnoliopsida; Fabales; Fabaceae. The record is from RNAcentral.